This 434-nucleotide ribosomal RNA is filed under the name uncultured Lachnospiraceae bacterium. RNAcentral describes it as "partial 16S ribosomal RNA". It matches the Rfam family "Bacterial small subunit ribosomal RNA", at positions 341 to 792 of the family's 1533-position model. Lineage: Bacteria; Bacillati; Bacillota; Clostridia; Lachnospirales; Lachnospiraceae. The record is from RNAcentral.
ACGGGAGGUAGCAGUGGGGAAUAUUGCACAAUGGGCGAAAGCCUGAUGCAGCGACGCCGCGUGAGUGAAGAGGUAUUUCGGUAUGUAAGGCUCUAUCAGCAGGGAAGAAAAUGACGGUACCUGACUAAGAAGCCCCGGCUAACUACGUGCCAGCAGCCGCGGUAAUACGUAGGGGGCAAGCGUUAUCCGGAUUUACUGGGUGUAAAGGGAGCGUAGACGGCUGUGUAAGUCUGAAGUGAAAGCCCCGGGCUCAACUCGGGAACUGCUUUGGAAACUAUAUAGCUAGAGUGCAGGAGAGGUAAGUGGAAUUCCUAGUGUAGCGGUGAAAUGCGUAGAUAUUAGGAGGAAUACCAGUGGCGAAGGCGGCUUACUGGACUGUAACUGACGUUGAGGCUCGAAAGCGUGGGGAGCAAACAGGAUUAGAUACCCUGGUA